Molecule: long non-coding RNA, 473 nt
Organism: Tripterygium wilfordii
Lineage: Eukaryota; Viridiplantae; Streptophyta; Magnoliopsida; Celastrales; Celastraceae
Exons: 2
Source: RefSeq, a predicted model, not a curated record
AUUAUAGAAACAUGCUUAUAAAAGAAAACACAAACCUUCAAGGAUGCCCUAAACCUCUAAAGCAUCAAUCUUUCAAGAGGAACUAACAAUUAGGGUUUUCUUUUGUUUCUACCAUUAAUGGCACAUGAGAGUAGUACACAAGUAGAUCAUCAUGAGAAGAGCCUGCAUGAGCCUCCUAAUAAGCCUCAAACAAUGAAAUGUUGUUGUUUACUACAAACAAGGAGGAGAAAAGUUCCAAGCACAAAGAAGAAAAGAGAGGAUAGCGGUUUUAUUGAAGGAUGCCUCUAUGUUUUGUGCUGCUUUUGGAUGUGUGAUCCAUGUUUUGAUAAAAUGAAGCACCUGUAGAGGAAUCUGCAUCACUGUACUUUGGAAUUUUCAUGAGUACAGAGAGGAGGGACUCAGACAAAAAAGAUGGUUGUACAAGUAUUGUAAAAUCUAUCUAAAAUAAUGAAAUAUUCAUGUAUUGGGCUCGA